RNAcentral lists this long non-coding RNA (1389 nucleotides) under Androctonus crassicauda. Lineage: Eukaryota; Metazoa; Arthropoda; Arachnida; Scorpiones; Buthidae. The record is from RNAcentral.
CUUAGGCAAAGAUCCAGACAAUAACCAAAAAUUAGUGUCAUUGCACUGUUGGAAGUCCAUUGUCUUUUUAUUAUUAUUAUUAUUAUUAUUUCUUUCUUAAUUUAUUUCGAUUAUAUUUAAAACGUUCACAGAAUCACGAGAAAAAUUUCUUUGGUGUCGCUAGCCGAUACGGCGCGAUUGUUAAUCUUAAUUAUUACGUAUUAGCAAAUAACGGUCGUCGAUUGGCUGUUAGAAUUUUCAAUUCUUCCCUGAUUAAUUACGCCCGUAUUUUACGGGAUGAAUAGUUUUAAAAAUAUUAAUUAUCCCAAAUUGUUAAUUAACCGUAAGGCUAUUUUUCUUUGGAUUUUAAUCUCGGUGUGCUUCUGUGCCAGGCAUUUAAAUGAAAUAAUUUCGACUUAUAACCUUUUAAGUAACGACUCCCUAUUCGGCGCGAGUCACGUGAUAUCGCGUGUUUACGUAGCGACGACGACGACGCCGCCGACCGUGAUUGGCGAUAGGCGACGAAACGGCAACAUCGAUUGGCGGGUUUAAAAUUUCGAAAACGAAAAAAACGGUUUUUCUCUCGAUAAACAGAUUUAUUAUAAUUAUUAUUUUUUUAUUAUUUUCUUCUUCUAAGCGUUUCGACUCGCGAUAUUUUUCGUUUCAGACAAUGGGGCGAGUUUCGAGUUUGCCCGGUAGUAUUAAAUUUCCGUUUAAUAUUUUUAAUCUACUCCUACAAGCGAAAAUUAGCAUUUGAAAGCCAUAUUUAAUGGAGGAACUUAUUUUAAAUUCGAGGCACCUGAUGAUGAUUUUUUUUUCUUUUCCCCCUUCCUUUGUUGUCACGUGACCGGAAGUGGCUUUAGGGCCGGAAAUCAUGUGCGUUUGACAGUUCGGUUAAUUGGAAGAGCGUGCUGACGUAAGACGUGUAAUUGGCCAAAGGUGGUCGCAUAAGCAGACUUACAAGGAAAAGGUGGAACUGGAGGGGGAAGGAAAAAAAAAAAAAAAAAACGAAAAUGAUGAAGCGCUUCCGUUCGUUAAGCAACAAAUUUUUGCAGAAUAUUUUUUUCGGAUUUCGACGCCAUUUUUGUAUUUGGAAAUUUUCCUCGAAUUGUCGCUUUGCAUUUUUAUUUUAUUUUUUUUUUUUUCGAUGAUUUAUGUGAUCUUAGCCGUUACGUGACUGAUGCGAUUCUUGUUUUAACCGAUAAAUAUUACGCUCCCGUAAUAGGGUAUUGAACUGCGAUAUGGGUUUUUAGUCACUUCAUUCGUUUUGUUGCCUAAAAUUAUAAUAAAUCGAUAGAAGGACGAACUGGCAGAUAUCGGCAGAGAGAGAAAAGCGUGCAUACUACCGUUUUUAGUCGGAAUUCUUACUUGAAAAAAUAUAUAUGAAUAUAUAUCGCCAUGUUGGAACGU